UACUCUGCAGCCCGGGGGUGCCCAGCCCUGGAGACUCUGGACAGUGAGGACUGGGCAGAAGCUGCUGCUGGCUUCAUCUUCCCCUUGGACCCUGUGGGCUGCGCCACCAGGACUGCAGGGUCACCUCACCAACACCAGGGUCCCAUCCAAGGUUGGCCUUAACAGGAAGAUUGCAGACUGGAACUCUCCCUUACUGGAAAAACUGUCAUCCUCAUCUUCCCAGGACAACCCACACUAGCUCUGCAAAAUGUCACCUGUUGAAACAGACCUACAAGGCACCCCAAGGUGGGUGUCACUGCUGCUCCCACACUUACAAGUGCAGUGCAGUGGGCAAAGGAACAGAACCAGCAGAAGCAGUAAGGACCCCCAUGGAUCAGUUCAGUGCCCAGACCAGCUUACUCUCUUCACUCUGGAUCCUACUGGGGGGGCUGGUGUAACCACCCCACUGACAGGGGCCCUCCUGCCCCCUCAAUAUCUUAUUUUUCCUCCACCAGCGCCAAACCCUGCCCUCCCCAGCUAGGGACAGAAGGGGACUGCUAUGGUGUGUGUAGUUUAACUCGUUUUAUUUAGACUUGAAGGUAACUGCGGCCCAGUGGGACCGUGACCCAGUAGAAACGCAGCAGUACAUCAGGAUUGGGGUGGGAGCAGGUGAGCUGCAGUGGGGUGUGGGGCCCAGGCUGCUCAAGGAAUGGUCAGUUGCUGAGAGAAGGGUUUACGAGAGCUGCCCGCAGUC
Molecule: non-coding RNA, 733 nt
Organism: Taeniopygia guttata (zebra finch)
Lineage: Eukaryota; Metazoa; Chordata; Aves; Passeriformes; Estrildidae
Source: RefSeq, a predicted model, not a curated record